Long non-coding RNA from Patiria miniata (bat star), 905 nucleotides. RefSeq lists it as uncharacterized. The transcript is spliced from 4 exons. NCBI's taxonomy places the organism in Eukaryota, Metazoa, Echinodermata, Asteroidea, Valvatida, Asterinidae. The record is from RefSeq and is a predicted model, not a curated record.
CAGUUAAUAAGGUCAUUCAACAUGCGUAAAUACAUGGCCACCAUGACACAGUCCUUUGACAUGAAUCCUCAAGAGAUGGAAUGGGUGUGCGACCAUUAAGGUCACUCUCUUGACAUUCACAGGCAGCACUACCGCGCUAUGUCGAGCGUGUUGGAGCGCGUCCAAGUUGCUAAGCUUCUUUUGAUCCAAGAUAAAAACUUGGUCAGGAGGUACCACGGGAGACGGUUGGACGAGAUUCAGCUAGAAGAGCUUGUGUAUGACUCUGAAGAGGCUUAAGGAGAUGCAACUGACCCUUCUCCUAGUGGGGACAAUCCACCGCCUAUUCAGGAAGACGAGGAGGAACCUACAUGCUCCAUGCCAAUUGAAGACUUCAUCCCUGACUUUGAAGACGAACUAGUCGACACAAAACAGAAACAAAAACAAGCUGGGAAAAAACGUCCAGUCAUCAACAGACACAAUUGGACACAGCAAGAGAUCAGGGAGGUCCGGGAGGUAUUUCAAGAAUAUUUCGCACGCGACAAGACCCCAGGGCAAGCAGCAGUACUGAAGGGGAUGGCCAAGAGCAAAAAAUUGGGGGGGAAUCUAGAUGCUGCCGGCCAACAAAAUUAAAAAGAAGGUGUCGUGGCUGCGAUUGCACUCUUCUGGCUAACCACCAGCCGGAAAAGUGCACAGUAUGGUUUCCGGCAACUAAACUUGACAGCUGGCCAGUCUCAGUUUUAGUUUGUGGAUACCCGCGGGCAACUAGCCAUUUUUUUAAUUUAAUUUCGCGCCUUGUCCUUGUUAAUUGCCUCAUGAUUUAUCGGGCGAUUCCAACCGAAGUGAGUCAAGAUUCCAAGUUUUGAAAUUGCAAAUCCAAAGACAAAUUCAAUUGUUUAUUCUCAGAUAUCUCUUUGUAAUACAAACAG